RNAcentral lists this ribosomal RNA (382 nucleotides) under uncultured eukaryote. RNAcentral describes it as "partial 18S ribosomal RNA". It matches the Rfam family "Eukaryotic small subunit ribosomal RNA", at positions 592 to 976 of the family's 1831-position model. The record is from RNAcentral.
CAAUAGCGUAUAUUAAAGUUGUUGCAGUUAAAAAGCUCGUAGUUGGAUUUCUGGAUGGAGCGACCGGUCGAGCAUUAAUUUGUCUGCACUGGAGUCGGUUCCGUCCAUCCUCUUGGAAAGUGCGUCGGGCAUUAAGUUGUUUGGCGUAUGAUCCAAGUCGUUUACUGUGAAAAAAUUAGAGUGUUUAAAGCAGGCCUUCGCCUUGAAUACAUUAGCAUGGAAUAAUAAGAUUGGACUUUGGUCUAUUUUGUUGGUUUGCAGACCGAAGUAAUGAUUAAUAGGGAUAGUUGGGGGUAUUUAUAUUCCGAUGUCAGAGGUGAAAUUCUUAGAUUUUCGGAAGAUAAACUUAUGCGAAAGCAUUUACCAAGGAUGUUUUCAUUAA